Molecule: unclassified non-coding RNA, 375 nt
Filed under: uncultured fungus
Lineage: Eukaryota; Fungi
Description: sequence contains ITS1
Rfam family: 5.8S ribosomal RNA (bases 1-107)
Source: RNAcentral
GAAAUGCGAUACUUGGUGUGAAUUGCAGAAUCCCGUGAACCAUCGAGUCUUUGAACGCAAGUUGCGCCCCAAGCCAUUAGGCCGAGGGCACGUCUGCCUGGGUGUCACGCAUCGUCGCCCCCAUCCAACCAUGAGCCCUCGAGCCUCGGUUGGACCGCGGGCGGAAAUUGGCCUCCCGUGCGCUCACAGCCAGCGGUUGGCCUAAAUUCGAGUCCUCGACGACAUCAUCGUCGCGACGAUCGGUGGUAAUGCUGCAAGCAACCUCGUUCGGAGUCGUGCGCGUCCGUCGAUCGAGACCCUUGAACCCUUUCGGCAUCGCAAGGACGGUGCUCGCAUCGCGACCCCAGGUCAGGCGGGAUUACCCGCUGAGUUUAA